GUGGGGAAUUUUGGACAAUGGGCGCAAGCCUGAUCCAGCAAUGCCGCGUGCAGGAAGAAGGCCUUCGGGUUGUAAACUGCUUUUGUACGGAACGAAACGGUCCUGGCUAAUAUCCGGGGCUAAUGACGGUACCAUUCGAGGAAGGACCGGCUAACUUCGUGCCAGCAGCCACGGUAAUACGAGGGGUCCUAGCGUUGUUCGGAAUCAUUGGGCGUAAAGGGUGUGUAGGUGGCCAUGUAAGUCAGGUGUGAAAGCCCCGGGCUCAACCCGGGAAGUGCACUUGAUACUGCGUGGCUUGAGUACCGAAGAGGGUAGUGGAAUUCCAGGUGUAGUGGUGAAAUACGUAGAUAUCUGGAGGAACACCGGUGGCGAAGGCGGCUACCUGGUCGAGUACUGACACUGAGACACGAAAGCAUGGGGAUCAAACAGGAUUAGAAACCCGAGUAGUCC
This 450-nucleotide ribosomal RNA is filed under the name uncultured bacterium. RNAcentral's name for it is "partial 16S ribosomal RNA". It matches the Rfam family "Bacterial small subunit ribosomal RNA", at positions 354 to 796 of the family's 1533-position model. The record is from RNAcentral.